This 477-nucleotide ribosomal RNA is filed under the name uncultured bacterium. Its description in RNAcentral is "bacterial SSU rRNA". It matches the Rfam family "Bacterial small subunit ribosomal RNA", at positions 28 to 502 of the family's 1533-position model. The record is from RNAcentral.
GACGAACGCUGGCGGCGUGCCUAACACAUGCAAGUCAACUUGACUGAAGGAGCAAUCUGACAGUAGAGUGGCGCAAGGGUGCGUAACGCGUAAGUAACUUGCCCCAAGGUAAGGAAUAACGUCGAGAAAUCGGCGCUAAUACCUCAUAAUGCAGCGGAUCCGCAUGGAUAUGUUGUUAAAGGUUUACCGCCUUGGGAUAGGCUUGCGUCUGAUUAGCUAGUUGGUGUGGUAAACGGCACACCAAAGCUACGAUCAGUAACUGGUCUGAGAGGAUGAUCAGUCACACUGGAACUGAGACACGGUCCAGACUCCUACGGGAGGCAGCAGUGAGGAAUAUUGGGCAAUGCUCGAAAGAGUGACCCAGCAACGCCGCGUGGAGGAUGAAGGUAUUCUAUAUCGUAAACUCCUGUGAGAGCAGACGAAAGACAGAUUAUUAAUACUGGAUGACUGUAUGCUCAGAGGAAGCCCCGGCUAACU